AGUGAACGCUGGCGGUAGGCCUAACACAUGCAAGUCGAACGGCAGCACAGUAAGGGCUUGCUCUUACGGGUGGCGAGUGGCGGACGGGUGAGGAAUACAUCGGAAUCUACUUUUUCGUGGGGGAUAACGUAGGGAAACUUACGCUAAUACCGCAUACGACCUACGGGUGGAAGCAGGGGAUCUUCGGACCUUGCGCGAUUGAAUGAGCCGAUGUCGGAUUAGCUAGUUGGCGGGGUAAAGGCCCACCAAGGCGACGAUCCGUAGCUGGUCUGAGAGGAUGAUCAGCCACACUGGAACUGAGACACGGUCCAGACUCCUACGGGAGGCAGCAGUGGGGAAUAUUGGACAAUGGGCGCAAGCCUGAUCCAGCCAUACCGCGUGGGUGAAGAAGGCCUUCGGGUUGUAAAGCCCUUUUGUUGGGAAAGAAAAGCAGCAGGUUAAUACCCCGCUGUUCUGACGGUACCCAAAGAAUAAGCACCGGCUAACUUCGUG
Molecule: ribosomal RNA, 492 nt
Filed under: uncultured bacterium
Lineage: Bacteria
Description: partial 16S ribosomal RNA
Rfam family: Bacterial small subunit ribosomal RNA
Source: RNAcentral